The submitters of this non-coding RNA (53 nucleotides) gave its source as unclassified sequences. The record is from Rfam.
CCCUGACAGGUGCAUUCCGUACCUGACACUAGCCACGACAGGAGAUUCUCAUG